This is a non-coding RNA of Zymomonas mobilis subsp. pomaceae ATCC 29192, 72 nucleotides long. The record is from Rfam. NCBI's taxonomy places the organism in Bacteria, Pseudomonadati, Pseudomonadota, Alphaproteobacteria, Sphingomonadales, Zymomonadaceae.
GGGCGCGUAGCUCAGUGGUAGAGCACUGUGUUCACAUCGCAGUGGCCGCUGGUUCAAUCCCAGCCGCGCCCA